Molecule: transfer RNA, 73 nt
Filed under: Paraglypturus tonganus (nomen nudum)
Lineage: Eukaryota; Metazoa; Arthropoda; Malacostraca; Decapoda; Callianassidae
Description: tRNA-Ala
Source: RNAcentral
UAAAAUAGUAUUUCUAAAAAGAAUUUAUGAUUUGCAAUUAUAAGGUGUAAUGUGUAAGUAUUACCUAUUUUAU